Molecule: transfer RNA, 76 nt
Filed under: TM7 phylum sp. oral taxon 350
Lineage: Bacteria; Candidatus Saccharimonadota
Also listed under: 2 other names
Description: tRNA-Gly
Rfam family: tRNA
About the family: Transfer RNA (tRNA) molecules are approximately 80 nucleotides in length. Their secondary structure includes four short double-helical elements and three loops (D, anti-codon, and T loops).
Source: RNAcentral
GCGGGUAUAGCUCAGUUGUUAGAGCGCUUCCUUGCCAAGGAAGAGGCCACGAGUUAGAGUCUCGUUACCCGCACCA